RNAcentral lists this ribosomal RNA (465 nucleotides) under uncultured bacterium. Its description in RNAcentral is "partial 16S ribosomal RNA". It matches the Rfam family "Bacterial small subunit ribosomal RNA", at positions 338 to 795 of the family's 1533-position model. The record is from RNAcentral.
CCUACGGGGGGCAGCAGUGGGGAAUAUUGCGCAAUGGGCGAAAGCCUGACGCAGCGACGCCGCGUGAGGGAUGAAGGUCUUCGGAUCGUAAACCUCUGUCAGCAGGGAAGAACGGUCACUGUGCUAAUCAGCAGUGAAUUGACGGUACCUGCAAAGGAAGCACCGGCUAACUCCGUGCCAGCAGCCGCGGUAAUGCGGGGGGUGCGAGCGUUAAUCGGAAUUACUGGGCGUAAAGCGCUCGUAGGCGGUAUGUCAAGUCAAGGGUGAAAUCCCCGCGCUCAACGUGGGAACUGCCGUUGAAACUGGCAAACUGGAGUUGGAGAGAGGAUAGUGGAAUGCCAGGUGUAGGAGUGAAAUGCGUAGAUAUCUGGAGGAACAUCAGUGGCGAAGGCGACUAUCUGGCACAUAACUGACGCUGAGGAGCGAAAGCGUGGGUAGCAAACAGGAUUAGAUACCCGUGUAGUC